UUAGCUAGUUGGUGGGGUAAAGGCGCUACCAAGGCGACGAUCCGUAGCUGGUCUGAGAGGAUGAUCAGCCACAUCGGGACUGAGACACGGCCCGAACUCCUACGGGAGGCGAGCAGUGGGGAAUAUUGGACAAUGGGGGCAACCCUGAUCCAGCCAUGCCGCGUGUGUGAAGAAGGCUUUCGGGUGUGUAAAGCACUUUCAGUGAGGAGGAGAAACGCUGUAUGGCUAAUAUCCAUGAGGCUUGACGUUACUCACAGAAGAAGCACCGGCUAACUCCGUGCCAGCAGCCGCGGUAAUACGGAGGGUGCAAGCGUUAAUCGGAAUUACUGGGCGUAAAGCGCGCGUAGGUGGUUCGAUAAGCGAGAUGUGAAAGCCCCGGGCUUAACCUGGGAACGGC
RNAcentral lists this ribosomal RNA (397 nucleotides) under Marinobacter sp. H-S2-23. RNAcentral's name for it is "bacterial SSU rRNA". It matches the Rfam family "Bacterial small subunit ribosomal RNA", at positions 241 to 624 of the family's 1533-position model. RNAcentral also lists the same sequence under 1 other name. The record is from RNAcentral. Lineage: Bacteria; Pseudomonadati; Pseudomonadota; Gammaproteobacteria; Pseudomonadales; Marinobacteraceae.